Molecule: ribosomal RNA, 373 nt
Filed under: uncultured bacterium
Lineage: Bacteria
Description: bacterial SSU rRNA
Rfam family: Bacterial small subunit ribosomal RNA
Source: RNAcentral
UACGAAUGGAGCGAGCGUUGUUCGGAAUCACUGGGCGUAAAGGGUGCGCAGGCGGUCUUGAAAGUUAGAAGUGAAAGCCCCGGGCUUAACCCGGGAAUUGCUUUUAAAACUCCAAGACUAGAGUACUGGAGAGGUUAGCGGAAUUCCAAGUGUAGCAGUGAAAUGCGUAGAUAUUUGGAGGAACACCAAUGGCGUAGGCAGCUAACUGGACAGUAACUGACGCUCAUGCACGAAAGCGUGGGGAUCAAACAGGAUUAGAUACCCUGGUAGUCCACGCCCUAAACGAUGUGUGCUAGUUAUCGGGCCCAUAGGGUUCGGUGACGCAGCUAACGCUUUAAGCACACCGCCUGGGGAGUACGGUCGCAAGAUUAAA